UUUCAGCAGCUUUUCAUCACACUGUCCUGCCACCCUCUGCUUUCUGUGAAAGGAGCUGCUGUGAGGAAGCCGAUCCUCCAGUAGCCAGUGCGGCAUGGAAAAGGGGCUCACAUGACUACAGAAAAACAGAGAGAGCAUUGGCUCUAGAGGGUGCAAGGAGAGGCUCAGUUUGAGGUAAGCAGCAGCCAUUUAUGCAGGCUUCCGAUUCCUCAGCUGGGUUGUUUAUUCCCCCACCUUGACACUUGCCAGUGAGUUGGUGGCUGGACAGCGUGAGUGGACAAUGGAGGUGGGCAGGACUGGUCCUUGCCAUAUAUGUAUAUACAGCCACUCUCUGUCACUAUUUAGCACAGAGCCAGUUGCUGCUGCCUUAAUUUGCUGGUAUUGCUUUGUGCUGGCAGGCAGGCAGCUGGCUGGAGAGUCUGCUCGUUUCUGUGGACGUGGAGGCUGCUCAGCACUUUGCUCGAAGUGCUCAGGCCGUUGCAGGAGUAGCACGAAGCCAGACCUACCUUUGAUUAAGGGAAUUAAAGGUCAGAGAAAAGCCUUCACUGACUUCCGCAUGCUUUUGGUCAGACUCAAAGUUUGGGAGAGCAAGAAGGACAGCGGCAGAAGUGGGACCUCUGGGAUGAUACAGCUGGUCGUACUCCCAGGACGGGAGAAUAAAGCUGAUGGUGAAAGGGAACCCAGCCCCAGCGUGGUGUCUGCUGGACCCAUGGAAGCUGGCUAAGGUGUUAAUGGACAGUGCUUGAUACAGCUGAAGAAAUGGAGAGCUCUGACGUCCUCCCAGACAACUGGGAGGUGACUGAAGUUAAAAAGAAAGGCUCCAUCUUUUGUGGAUGGGAGCCAGAGUCCAGGGGCUUGUUUUGAUACCCACUUUCUGGAGUCUCCUAUUUCCACAACAUCCUCUGAAGGAUCUAAUCAGACCAACAAUGACUUCUGGCUGGUGCAAGAAGAGAUCAAGUCUGUAUUUGCCCAAGUAGAUAUGAAAAGCUCUCAGAUCAAGGAUCCAGAUUUGCCCCUUCCCUGCCCUGCUUUGAGAGACAGCUGGGGAAUAAUGUCAUAUCUGUACUUGUAUCUCAGUCCCUGAUAUCAAUCCAGCAGUGCUGACUGUAUUACAUAAAAUUCCUCCUCCCCACUCUCUUUGGCAUCAGCUGCCAUGCUGACAUCUCACAAAUCCUUCCUGAUUCCCUGCAAUAGCAUUUGUUCUCUCAAUCUCUUUCUCUCUAGGCAAGUACAAAGAUUCCCAAAAAGUGACCGAAUGAGCUACUGUCCUCUUGUUGUAACCAGCUGGUGUUGAUGUCAUGCAGCCUACCAGGCUCCCUGCUUCGCAGAACACCAUCAGCCCCUCUGGCCCCCAGUCCAGGCUAUUUCAAAACCAAGCAAAAUAAGGGGAAAUCCAGCUGUGCCUCUGCUUUCCGCUUUUGCACACCAAGGUGCUGGGCCCUGGAGCACCGUUUGGUGGUGAGAUGCCCGGGUACACAGAAAGAAAAGCAUCUCCCGCCUUGUCUAGUCCUCCUUCCCCUGCUGCCUCCCACUCCAGCCUCUCCGACCCCUCCACGUCAGGACCAACACAAGUCUCCAUAUCUUACCCGCCGACCCCUCCACGUCAGGACCAACACAUAGUUUGCUGAAACUCCAUAUCUUACCCACUUUCACAUGACAACACUUGCUCCUCCACAGGCAGCAAAAGCAGAGGGGGAAAGAGGCCCUUCUGUAGCCCAAUCGCU
RNAcentral lists this long non-coding RNA (1724 nucleotides) under Struthio camelus australis. Its description in RNAcentral is "lncRNA (ENSSCUG00000007020.1)". Lineage: Eukaryota; Metazoa; Chordata; Aves; Struthioniformes; Struthionidae. The record is from RNAcentral.